RNAcentral lists this ribosomal RNA (414 nucleotides) under uncultured prokaryote. RNAcentral's name for it is "bacterial SSU rRNA". It matches the Rfam family "Bacterial small subunit ribosomal RNA", at positions 355 to 786 of the family's 1533-position model. The record is from RNAcentral.
UGGGGAAUAUUGGACAAUGGGGGCAACCCUGAUCCAGCCAUGCCGCGUGAGUGAUGAAGGCCUUAGGGUUGUAAAACUCUUUCAGUGGUGACGAUAAUGACGGUAGCCACAGAAGAAGCCCCGGCUAACUCCGUGCCAGCAGCCGCGGUAAUACGGAGGGGGCUAGCGUUGUUCGGAAUUACUGGGCGUAAAGCGCGCGUAGGCGGGUGACCAAGUUGGGGGUGAAAGCCCGGGGCUCAACCUCGGAACUGCCUUUGAUACUGGUAGUCUUGAGUUCGAGAGAGGUGAGUGGAAUUCCGAGUGUAGAGGUGAAAUUCGUAGAUAUUCGGAGGAACACCAGUGGCGAAGGCGGCUCACUGGCUCGAUACUGACGCUGAGGUGCGAAAGUGUGGGGAGCAAACAGGAUUAGAUACC